UGCGGGGUAGAGCAGAUGGAGUGCUCGCGGGUCUCAUAAGCCCGAGGUCAUGGGUUCGAGUCCCAUCCCUGCUA
Molecule: transfer RNA, 74 nt
Filed under: Sphingomonas phage PAU
Lineage: Duplodnaviria; Heunggongvirae; Uroviricota; Caudoviricetes
Rfam family: tRNA
About the family: Transfer RNA (tRNA) molecules are approximately 80 nucleotides in length. Their secondary structure includes four short double-helical elements and three loops (D, anti-codon, and T loops).
Source: Rfam by way of RNAcentral